AGGCUUCCUUUGGCAGCAUAUAUACUAAAAUUGGGACGCUGUAAGGAUGAGCACAGCCCCUGUGCAAGUAUAAUACAUACAAACUUGUAAAGCAUUUUGUGUUG
This 104-nucleotide small nuclear RNA is filed under the name Carlito syrichta (Philippine tarsier). Lineage: Eukaryota; Metazoa; Chordata; Mammalia; Primates; Tarsiidae. The record is from RNAcentral.